This 264-nucleotide ribosomal RNA is filed under the name uncultured bacterium. RNAcentral describes it as "partial 16S ribosomal RNA". It matches the Rfam family "Bacterial small subunit ribosomal RNA", at positions 90 to 354 of the family's 1533-position model. The record is from RNAcentral.
CCGGACCGGCGCACGGGUGAGUAACACGUAUGGAACCUGCCCGCAGCAGGGGGAUAAGCGGAAGAAAUUCCGUCUAAUACCGCGUAACACCGCAGAGGGGCAUCCCUCGGCGGUUAAAGAUUCAUCGGCUGCGGAUGGCCAUGCGGCGCAUUAGCUAGUCGGCGGGGUAACGGCCCACCGAGGCGACGAUGCGUAGGGGUUCUGAGAGGAAGGUCCCCCACACUGGUACUGAGACACGGACCAGACUCCUACGGAAGGCAGCAG